AGAGUUUGAUCAUGGCUCAGGAUGAACGCUGGCGGCGUGCCUAAUACAUGCAAGUCGAGCGGUAAGGCCUCUUUUAGAGGUACACGAGCGGCGGACGGCUGAGUAACACGUAGGAACGUACCCCAAACUGAGGGAUAAGCACCAGAAAUGGUGUCUAAUACCGCAUGUGCUCUUUUUGAGUAAAGCUACGGCGGUUUGGGAACGGCCUGCGCAUGAUUAGUUAGUUGGUGAGGUAAUAGCUCACCAAGGCUACGAUCAUUAGCUGGUCUGAGAGGAUGAUCAGCCAGACUGGGACUGAGAACGGCCCAGACUCCUACGGGAGGCAGCAGUAGGGAAUUUUCCACAAUGGGCGAAAGCCUGAUGGAGCAACGCCGCGUGCAGGAUGAAUGCCUUCGGGUUGUAAACUGCUUUUAUCUGUGACGAAUAUGACGGUAGCAGAUGAAUAAGGAUCGGCUAACUCCGUGCCAGCCGCCGCGGUAAUAC
This 483-nucleotide ribosomal RNA is filed under the name uncultured bacterium. Its description in RNAcentral is "bacterial SSU rRNA". It matches the Rfam family "Bacterial small subunit ribosomal RNA", at positions 8 to 526 of the family's 1533-position model. The record is from RNAcentral.